AGGACGAACGCUGGCGGCGUGCUUAACACAUGCAAGUCGAGCGGAAAGGCCCUUCGGGGUACUCGAGCGGCGAACGGGUGAGUAACACGUGAGUAAUCUGCCCUUAGCUCUGGGGAUAGCUCCGGGAAACCGGGAUUAAUACCGGAUACAACCACUUUAGACAUCUCUUGUGGUGAAAGAAUUUUGGCUAGGGAUGAACUCGCGGCCUAUCAGCUUUGUUGGUGAGGUAACGGCUCACCAAGGCGACGACGGGUA
Molecule: ribosomal RNA, 255 nt
Filed under: uncultured bacterium
Lineage: Bacteria
Description: partial small subunit ribosomal RNA
Rfam family: Bacterial small subunit ribosomal RNA
Source: RNAcentral